UGAAAUAACUAGUAGCAUAUACAAGAAAACACAUUUGGGGUGGUAAUCAAAUGCUGGUUGUGGUAUCCCUGUUUUUUAAAAUAAUUUUUUGACUAAUUUCAUUGGCAUCAAAAUAAGAAGUGUCCUGUGAAGCCUAGAUGAAGAUGGGAAUGAGUUGAUUACUCUCUAGCUAGCUUAUUAACAGCAAGAAUGGAUGUAGCAAUGUCCUGCUUCUGGAAAUCAGUCUGAAAUCUGUCAUUAAAGAAAUAAUUAUAUGUACCAUAGAUAAUUUCACUGGGAUAUUGAAUAAAGUUAGAUCUCAUUGGAAAAAUGGCCAGAAGCAUGUAAUGUGCUAGCAGUUUCUUCCUGUGACAUCAGAAUAGUUUUUUUCCCCCCCUUCUCUUAGUAUUCUGUGAUGAGCUAUCAUCUGUCGGGUUGUGCUUGGUGCUGUUUUCCUGAACCUAUCUUUGAGUGUCAUAGUUGUAUGGAAAAAUUAUUUAGCUAUUUUUAGACUGAAGUAAAAGAAAGAAGAGGAAAGAAGAGGAGAUGAAGAAGGACUCCAUCAGUUAGUUUUUUGGAAAAAAAGAGUUCAAGAAUGAGCCUGGGUAAACCUGGCUGCUUGAAGUCUGAGGAAGAAGAUUGGUUUCUGCAUGAGUUUCACUGACAUGGAAGCUGGUAAGGGUUUUCAAACUCUGACUGUUCCAUGUUUUAAAAGUUGUCACUGGGCGAUUCGGUGCCGCAUAGCAUGGCACAGUGUUUCAGAAUGA
This 746-nucleotide long non-coding RNA is filed under the name Anser brachyrhynchus (Pink-footed goose). RNAcentral's name for it is "lncRNA (ENSABRG00000011478.1)". The record is from RNAcentral. Lineage: Eukaryota; Metazoa; Chordata; Aves; Anseriformes; Anatidae.